CUUCCAAGGAGGAGCACAUGAAAAAUGUAAAAUGGCAAAGUGUUACUCCAAUACUGUUCCUUCCUGGAAAAGAAAAGUUUUCUCAUGAAAACAAGAAAAGCCAAAUUCGCAAUGAGACCAAGGCAGGAAAAUAUAUCAAGAAAGAACAAAUUUAAGAAAGCGUGAGUUGCUCUUGAGGAGGCCAGGAUUUCAAUGUGGACUUCAGGAGACAUUUACUUGGAGGCAUCUUAAUUCUUGAAGCAGAAAGGCCCAACUUUGCCCUCCAUACUGAAACAGAAGGUAAAUUGUGACUGUUAAGUCAAACCUAACUUAGGAUAUCCAUCCUCGAAAAAUUUCUUUUGCAUCUAAAGCUAUGUAGACAGUUAACUUCUAUUUCUUAAACAUUUGUUUAUUGAAUUUGAAUUUCAAAUGUAGAAACAAUCUGUGAAAGUAACAGGAACUCUCAUUCAUUGCUGGGAGGAAUGCAAACUAGUACAGCCACUUUGGAAGACAGUUUGGCAGUUUCUUACAAAACUAAAUGCUCUUACCAUACGAUCCAGCAAUCACACUCCUAGGUAUUUUUCCAACUGAGUUGAAAACAUACGUCCACAUAAAAACCUGCCCAUGAAUGUUUAUAUCAAAUCAUAAUUGCCAAAACCUGAAAGCAACCAAGAUGUCCUUCAAUAGGUGAAUGGAGAAACAAACUGUGGUACAUCCUGACAAUGUAACAUUCAGCUAUAAAAAGAAAUGAGCUAUCAAGCCACAAAAAGACAUGCAGGAAACUUAAAUGCAUAUUGCAAAAUAAAAGCAGUCAGUCUAUAAAGGCUACAUCCUGUGCGAUGCCAAGUAUAUGACACUCUAAAAAAGGUAAAACUAUGGAGAUAGUAAAACGAUUAGUGGUUGCCAGGGGCUCGGGAGAGGGACGUAUGAAUAGGUGGAGCACAGAAGAUUCCUAAGGCAGUGAAACUAUUCUGUAUGACACUGUAAUAAUAAACACAUAUCAUUAUACAUUUGUUAAAAACCACAGAAUGUACAACACAAAAAGUGAGCCCUAAUGGAAACUACAGACUUUAGUUAAUAAUAGUGAGUCAAUAUUGGUUUAUCGAUUGUACAAAGGUACCACACCAAUGCAAGAUGUUAGCAACAAGGAAUCUUUGUGUGGUCAAAAGAAGACAUAUGGGAACUCUCUGUACUGUCUGCCCAAUUUUUCUAUAAACCUGAAACUGCUAUAAAAAUAUAAAGUAUAAUAAUAUUUUUAAGUAGCCAUGAAAACAUUCCAAGACAGUUUGCCGUUUUCCUUGUUCAAAGACACAAAGAUAACCUUUCACAUUUUUAUAGAUAUUAUCUUAUUCUAAUAUUCUUUGUCUUUUAAAUUCAAAUUAUAAAAAUUUCUGGCUUUCAUAUUCAUAAGGAUCAAUAAAAUGAAUAUAGUAGUAGAGUGUUCAAGUAAAAAUUAAUCUAUUUUUUUCAGCCGAAAGCUAUGCACUGUCCUCUCUACGGAUAAAGUCUCUUGAGCUGUUCUUGAGAACUUCAUCCACUAUGCAGAUAAAAUGUGUAAAGUGACCUUUUGUUCAGGCCAGGAGAAGUUCAGCAUAACCAUUGUCAUGAAGUGUUUGGGGGAGAGUAUAGACU
Macaca fascicularis (crab-eating macaque) is the source of this 1611-nucleotide long non-coding RNA. The record is from Ensembl. NCBI's taxonomy places the organism in Eukaryota, Metazoa, Chordata, Mammalia, Primates, Cercopithecidae.